Limulus polyphemus (Atlantic horseshoe crab) is the source of this 488-nucleotide long non-coding RNA. RefSeq lists it as uncharacterized. The transcript is spliced from 3 exons. NCBI's taxonomy places the organism in Eukaryota, Metazoa, Arthropoda, Merostomata, Xiphosura, Limulidae. The record is from RefSeq and is a predicted model, not a curated record.
AUUUUAAAAUCAUUAAAAUUUAGUGAUACUUAAACAAUGGAUUGAGUUAUUCUCAAAUUUUGAAAAAGAAUAUAAGGAAAAUAAAAUUUUCAUGAUGUUAAAUAGAUCACAAAUGCUCACAAAAAUGUUUUUAGUGAAACAAGGUUUGUUAUUUUUAAAAUUCAGUUAAAAACUUUUAUUGGUUUAGUCAACUGGUAUCAGGCUUACACGGUACACUGUCUCUUAUAGGUCGAGUCCUUGAAUAAGGCAGGAGAUUAUUUUUAUCUGCUCGGAACUACAGGAAAUAUCCUAGGAGCUGCACUGAAGACUUGUAAUGCUGCAAAGAAUCCAGUUUUUGUCUCCCAAGGUCAUCGAUGCUCACUGGAAUCUGCUCUAGCUGUUGUUAAGCUGUGUUCCAUCUACAGAGUUCCCGAACCUACUCGACUAGCCGACAUCCAGUCUCGAAAAUAUCUUCAACAGGAAAUCCACACUUCAUCAUGUUUGUCACU